GAUGAACGCUGGCGGCGUGCCUAAUACAUGCAAGUCGAGCGAACGAACGAGGCGCUUGCUUCUCUUAUGUUAGCGGCGGACGGGUGAGUAACACGUGGAUAACCUACCUAUAAGACUGGGAUAACUUCUGGAAACCUUAGCUAAUACCGGAUAAUAUUUUGAACCUCAUGGUUCAACAGUGAAAGACGUUCUUGCUGUCCCUUAUAGAUGUAUCCACGGUGCUUUAGCUAGUGGGUAGGGUAACGGCUUACCAAGGCGACGAUGCGUAACGGACCUGAGAGGAGGAUCAGACACACGGGAACUGAGACAGGGUCAAGAAACCAAAGGGAGGCAGAAGGGGGGAAUAUUGGACAAGGGGCGAAAGCCGGACGAAGAAAUGCGGCGUGGGUGAAGAAGGUCUUCGGAUGGUAAAGAACUUUAAGUGGGGAGGAAGGGGAGGAAGGUAAAAACUUGCUGGAUUGACGGUACCAACAGAGAAAGCAACGGCUAACUUCGUG
RNAcentral lists this ribosomal RNA (497 nucleotides) under uncultured bacterium. RNAcentral describes it as "partial 16S ribosomal RNA". It matches the Rfam family "Bacterial small subunit ribosomal RNA", at positions 28 to 507 of the family's 1533-position model. The record is from RNAcentral.